CGGCGGGCUAGGCGGGGGGCUAGCGGUCCCCUGUAACCGGAAAUCCGCUCAUGCCGGGCCGAAGUCGGGGGGCGGCGCUGGAACCUCGCACCGCCCGGUCCCGGGUGUGGAAGUCCCGCCCCGCAGGGUCGGCGGCGGAGGGGCCCCGACCGGAGGGCCGGGGAGAACCUCCCUUACCUGCUGAAUCCCCCAGGGGCGGAAGUCAGCAAGGGUAGGCAGGACGCACGGCGCUUGCGGAAAGCGGGAUGGAGCCUGAGGGGCCGGUCAACGGUGUGCAGGGGAAGGCGUCCACCUUCGACGCGCCCGCCG
Molecule: signal recognition particle RNA, 309 nt
Filed under: Hadesarchaea archaeon
Lineage: Archaea; Methanobacteriati; Hadarchaeota (SeqCode); Hadarchaeia (SeqCode)
Also listed under: 1 other name
Description: signal recognition particle sRNA
Rfam family: Archaeal signal recognition particle RNA
Source: RNAcentral